This 253-nucleotide ribosomal RNA is filed under the name uncultured bacterium. Its description in RNAcentral is "partial 16S ribosomal RNA". It matches the Rfam family "Bacterial small subunit ribosomal RNA", at positions 524 to 776 of the family's 1533-position model. The record is from RNAcentral.
UACGUAGGGUGCAAGCGUUAUCCGGAUUUACUGGGUGUAAAGGGCGAGUAGACGGCAUUGCAAGUCAGAUGUGAAAGGCUAGGGCUCAACCUUAGGACUGCAUCUGAAACUGUAAUGCUAGAGUGCAGGAGAGGUAAGCGGAAUUCCUAGUGUAGCGGUGAAAUGCGUAGAUAUUAGGAGGAACACCAGUGGCGAAGGCGGCUUACUGGACUGUAACUGACGUUGAGGCGCGAAAGUGUGGGGAGCAAACAGG